UCUUGCCUGACAAGUCCCCUGACUUUUGUCUUAUCUUCCAGCUACAGAUUGAAAUGUUAAUCUUCUCAAUAUAAUCAAGUUUAAUUUUUGCAGUUUUGUUUCUGUGCCCAGAGGUGAAACUUGUGUGUUUUCAAUAAGUCAAAGUAAUAAAUGAGCAUAGUACAAUUACAAGGUAGGUCAUUUGAUGGUUCUAGAAAGAGAAAAUGCCCCCAUCUUAUCAUUCCAUAUUCCAGGACCUCUACCCCAAAUGGGUGGGGAAUCCACAGGGAAAAGAGCCACCAGAGAAACUGAAUGUGAUCAGGGAAGUAAUUCGCAGGGAGUUUAUUGGAUAUGCAAUUGACCCUAUUGCUUGUACAUCAAGAGUCUUUCACAUUAACUAAU
Molecule: long non-coding RNA, 381 nt
Filed under: Bos taurus (domestic cattle)
Lineage: Eukaryota; Metazoa; Chordata; Mammalia; Artiodactyla; Bovidae
Description: long non-coding RNA NONBTAT023414
Source: RNAcentral